CGGAACGGGUGAGUAACGCGUGAGGAGCCUGCCUCAAAGAGGGGACAACAGUUGGAAACGACUGCUAAUACCGCAUAAGCCCACGGGUCGGCAUCGAUCUGAGGGAAAAGGAGUGAUCCGCUUUGAGAUGGCCUCGCGUCCGAUUAGCUAGUUGGUGAGGUAACGGCCCACCAAGGCGACGAUCGGUAGCCGGACUGAGAGGUUGAACGGCCACAUUGGGACUGAGACACGGCCCAG
Molecule: ribosomal RNA, 237 nt
Filed under: uncultured bacterium
Lineage: Bacteria
Description: partial 16S ribosomal RNA
Rfam family: Bacterial small subunit ribosomal RNA
Source: RNAcentral